GGCGUAGCUGCGGAUGGCUCAUUAAAUCAGCUAUUAUUCCUUAGAUCGUACCGACCGUUGUGGAUAUCUGUAGUAAUUCUAGAGCUAAUACAUGCACGCAAGCACCGAUCCUCCGUGAGAAGUGCGCUUUUAUUAGAACAAGACCGGCGGUGAGGAGUAACUACCGUAGCCCCGUCGUGUUGACUCUGGAUAACUUANCCGAUCGCACGGCCCUGGUCGCCGGCGACGCAUCUUUCAAAUGUCUGACCCAUCAGCUGGUUGGCCGGGUAGUGGCCGGCAAAGGAGGUGACGGGUAACAGAGAAUCAGGGUUCGAUUCUGGAGAGGGAGCCUGAGAAACGGCUACCACGUCCAAGGAAGGCAGCAGGCGCGCAAAUUACCCACUCCCGACUCGGGGAGGUAGUGACGAAAAAUAACGAUAGACGACUCAGUCGAGGCUGUCUAAUCGGAAUGAGUAUAGUCUAAAGCCUUAACACGAGGAGCUAGUAGAGGGCAAGUCUGGUCGGGCGGGGGCGGCGGGACGGGCGCGGGGCGCGGCGGGCG
RNAcentral lists this ribosomal RNA (541 nucleotides) under uncultured organism. RNAcentral describes it as "bacterial SSU rRNA". It matches the Rfam family "Eukaryotic small subunit ribosomal RNA", at positions 80 to 584 of the family's 1831-position model. The record is from RNAcentral.